UACGUAGGGGGCAAGCGUUAUCCGGAAUCACUGGGUGUAAAGGGAGCGUAGACGGUCAUGCAAGUCUGGAGUGAAAGGCGGGGGCCCAACCCCCGGACUGCUCUGGAAACUGUGUAACUGGAGUGCAGGAGAGGCAGGCGGAAUUCCUGGUGUAGCGGUGAAAUGCGUAGAUAUCAGGAGGAACACCGGUGGCGAAGGCGGCCUGCUGGACUGUAACUGACGCUGAGGCACGAAAGGGCGGGGAUCGA
RNAcentral lists this ribosomal RNA (248 nucleotides) under uncultured Lachnospiraceae bacterium. RNAcentral's name for it is "partial 16S ribosomal RNA". It matches the Rfam family "Bacterial small subunit ribosomal RNA", at positions 524 to 771 of the family's 1533-position model. Lineage: Bacteria; Bacillati; Bacillota; Clostridia; Lachnospirales; Lachnospiraceae. The record is from RNAcentral.